RNAcentral lists this small nuclear RNA (195 nucleotides) under Octopus bimaculoides (California two-spot octopus). RNAcentral describes it as "U2 spliceosomal RNA". It matches the Rfam family "U2 spliceosomal RNA". From Rfam's summary of the family: U2 is a small nuclear RNA (snRNA) component of the spliceosome (involved in pre-mRNA splicing). Lineage: Eukaryota; Metazoa; Mollusca; Cephalopoda; Octopoda; Octopodidae. The record is from RNAcentral.
UUUUCAGUUUCUGCCUUUGCUAAAAUCAAAGUCUAGUCUCUUUUCUGAUCAGCUUAAUAUCUGAUACAGUCCCUUGUUGGGGGCCAUCAAUAUUAAACUGAUCUGUAGAAGUAGGCAAAGAGUUAGGGGGCUUGCUCCAUCUGCGUUACAGGUUGGCCUGGUAUUGCAGCACCUCCAGGACACAACCCAUGGUUG